Long non-coding RNA from Rhipicephalus sanguineus (brown dog tick), 706 nucleotides. RefSeq lists it as uncharacterized. NCBI's taxonomy places the organism in Eukaryota, Metazoa, Arthropoda, Arachnida, Ixodida, Ixodidae. The record is from RefSeq and is a predicted model, not a curated record. The transcript is spliced from 3 exons.
ACACACUUCUCACUAGUGCCUUGCCUUGGAUGAAGUCGUAGACCAGCACCUGCUAACUACAGGUUUUCAAGUGCAUUUGUCCUGUCGUUUUGCUCGGCACUGGAGCCUUGACUACAGCGGCCCACGCCGAUUUCUCACGCUUCACCAGUGGACGUACACGUCUUGCUAGCCUUGCAUUUCUACGUCAACGGCAGCUUCCAGUCCACAGACGUCUUUUGCCUGUGGCUGCAGAGCACAUUGGAUUCCCGAUGACGCUGACGGCUGCUAAUAUCGUUGUGCCAUCGAUCGCAGACUUUCGUAAGGUCCUGGAAUCCAUCGAUUGCAAGCACUGGCAAAUCAAGCCACCUUAUGACUUGGAGCACCUGUACAGAAAUAGGAAGGACUUGUGCUCCCUAAAUGUACAAGUCUUUCGCAAUGGUAGGGGUGUCAUCAUCCAGCCGACCUCAAAGGGGCCUGGAAGCACGCAUGGCAGCCUCAUCUGAAUGGACUGUGCUCUUCCUGGGAGCUUCAAGGGCAGAAAACUGCCUAAUGGCUGGUUGCUAGGUGACUCUCCCUAUGCCUGAGAGCCAUGGGUGCUCACCCUCCGGUCCGUGGCUGGCCCAGCUGAGCAGCAGUGCAGUGCAGCCCCCACCCAUGCAAGACAAGUCAUACAGUGCACAUUUGGUGUUCUGAGCACGACACAGCAUAUCCGUCCGGCAUGGCAUUG